This 401-nucleotide long non-coding RNA is filed under the name Salmo salar (Atlantic salmon). Its description in RNAcentral is "lncRNA (ENSSSAG00000088406.1)". Lineage: Eukaryota; Metazoa; Chordata; Actinopteri; Salmoniformes; Salmonidae. The record is from RNAcentral.
AUUAUUUUGAACCAAACCAACAUUUGUUAUUGAAGUAGCAGUCCUGGGAGUGCAUUCUGACGAAGAACACCAAAGGUGGACUCCAAUCAAGUUGUUGAAACAUCUCAAGGAUGAUACACAGAAACAUGAUGCCCCUAAGCUCAACUUCGAGUCUCAUAGCAAAGGGUCUGAAUACUUAUGUAAAUAAGAACCUGAGCCCUAGGACCAUGCCUCAGGACUACCUGGUAUGAUGACUCCUUGCUGUCCCCAGUCCACCUGGCCGUGCUGCUGCUCCAGUUUCAACUGUUCUGCCUGCGGCUAUGGAACCCUGACCUGUUCACCGGACGUGCUUGUUGCACCCUCGACAACUACUAUGAUUAUUAUUAUUUGACCAUGCUGGUCAUUUAUGAACAUUUUAACAG